This 96-nucleotide small nucleolar RNA is filed under the name Dasypus novemcinctus (nine-banded armadillo). Its description in RNAcentral is "Small nucleolar RNA SNORA31 (ENSDNOG00000030207.2)". Lineage: Eukaryota; Metazoa; Chordata; Mammalia; Cingulata; Dasypodidae. The record is from RNAcentral.
AUGGUAUUAAGGAUCCCACUACAGAUGCAAGAAAAAGAAGGUCCUCAUGCUUUCUGUCAGUCUGUGGCAACCCAGAUUGAAUGGGGGAAUACAGGG